UGGGAGGCUCCUGGGAAGGCGCCUGCCAUCUCUGGCACUUGGAGCAGACUGUGAGCAGCAGAUGGAAUUUUCUCUGGACCCCCCUGCCCUCCACUGGAUGGGAAAUGGUUCUCCUACCUGGGAUGGAGAACAUUUCAUUCAAGAAACGCAAAGAGAGGAAAGGAGGGCAGUGCAUCUGAGCGGCACUGAGAUCAGAUGCCUGCGAGUCUUCGCCAUCCAUUCUCCCUUCAGAUGGGCAUUCUUGGGGCAAAGGAGGCUGGACAAGGCGUCUGGAGAUAUACCAGGUCACCCUACCCUCAGGGCUUUCUGAGUGUCUUUGAGACACUAGGGAGAUACUUUUUGCUGGAACUGAAACCUCCCACCUGCUGGGGCCAAGGAGUCGAGUGCCGGAGGUCAGGGGUGCCUUGGACUGAUGGGUGUCUUUAAAUGCCUCCACGUGGGGCAAAGGGAGGCAGCUUCUGUGUGAGCUGGUCAGGAGCAGUCCUUCCACUCCCCACUCUCUCCAGGAAAUGACUGUCACCCAUGACCAGAGUCAUGAGUCCCAUAGAUGCUCAGGCUUGGGAGAAAGCUCUUGGGACAGUGGAGCCCUGCCACUGAAUUUUAUUUCUGACUUUGCUCUGGCCCCAGUGUUUGAACUGUGAACCCUGGACAAGUUGAGAUGAAGGUUUCCUGCUCCGCAGGUGGAGACAUCAGACGGGAGAGAGGAGGUGCCCCCUCCCCACCCCGGCUCUCUCUCUCUCAGCCCAUUCCUCCCCCUGCAACUGCCUGUGCUGUAAUCACUAAAUGUCAGCAAUAGAGGCUUUGCCUCCAGUAGGUGACAUUUGAUUCAGUAUCUCUGUGGGGAUGGAUACUGUCAGUCUGUAGAGUCCUGGUAGAACUUUGUUGGCAGGAAACUGGUAAGAGAGUUAAGAUUGUGUUGGAGGGUAGGAAGGCUGAUCACCAGCUGCUCUGCCUUCCACCCCAGCCUCCAGCCAGCCCCCCUGCCAAGUGUCCAUGACUGCCACCCCCAACUCCCCAUCCCAGGUGCUUUUAGCUCCACCUGGAUAUAAGGUGAAGCAAGUCACACUGCAGCCCUUCCCCUCAUUUUCUCCUCCAGACAGCAGGAGGUGCCACAUGCCCUGUUGUAGAUCUUGUGCCAGGAGAUCUUUCUCCAGGACCACCGGGUGGGGACAGUAGUAGAUGAAAACCAGACCUUGCCCUUGACUUGGCCACCCUGUGUUCUCACGAUCUUGGGGAUGGUCUUUUUUCUUGGUGUCUCCCCAUCCCACUUCGCCCUUUUUGAUUUCUGGAGUGCCUAAAGCUCAUGAGCAGCAUUACAAGUGGGAGGGAGGUGAAGCAGAGCUUUGGACCAGACUGAGCCAGAGGGAACACUCCUGUCUAGGAUGUGAUGAUGAGUCUGAAUCCUCAGCAUCCCUGUGGGACCACAGUCCAGGAACAGCUAUCUGCUCUGGGGAAAGGAAGGCCAAGAGGUGCCCAAAUCUCACUUCAGUAUAUUCUAUUAGGCAGAAGUGAAAAUCUAUUUUACUCCCAACUGCAGAAUCUUGGGUGUCCCAAGACAUCUCAGAACUCUCAGGCCAGAGCUCUCAAAUCUUCAUCUCUGUGUCUUUAGCAGCCAUGUAUGUCUACUCAUCCUUAAAGCUUCCUUUUGUUGCCAAUGUUCUGAUGUGGUCUUUUGGAGCACUAUGAAUAAGGCCCCAUGGAAACAGAGAGCCUUGGGGAAAGGACCAGAGUCCAGAAAUAGUGAAACACUCCCAGGUUUCCUGGCUUAAGAGCAAUUAAGUUUUCACACUUGUUUGGGUGGCGUGGGCAGGAGAGUUGCCAGGGAAAGCGCAGUAAGGAUGGUGAUUCACAGUUCACUCCUUGCUCUGAAUCAGGCAGUUCCCCGGACUCAGACCCCAUCCAGCCUUGCCUGCAUCUGCUUCAUCACUCAUCUGUUAUAUGAUGCUGAGCAAGUCACUUAUUUCUUUGUACCUUUGUACCUCAGUUUUCUCACCUACAAAAUGGGCAUUGUAACAUUAAUAAUUCAGAGCACUAUAUAAAGAUAAAUAACACGUGUCAAAUGUUUUAACCUUUCAAAAGCAGUUGUACUUAGAUAUUAUCCAUUAUUAUUAUUUCAUAAGCAGCAGUGGUCCAACAAGGCAGCCCCAAUGUGCAGUCUCAUAUUUGAUUCAUGUUUGCUGAUGAGCUGUUAGCCAAAGCAAGUGACGUGGCCAAGCCUAGAGUCAGUGUGGGAGGGCCUGGAACUGGGAGGUCUGACUCAUCGGGGCCACUAAUGGAAUCAUUUACCACAAAUGUCUUUAUUAUUCUAGUCUUAAUUUUGAUGGUGAUUAUUGGCUUAGUGGAGAAAUUCCUUAUCAUGGUUAAGUGAGCAUGUUCUUGUUUCACUUAGGAAUGGAAAUAUGUUCCCAGGUUACCAUUUUGCCCAUAAUUCAAUUAAAACACUU
Molecule: long non-coding RNA, 2444 nt
Filed under: Cervus hanglu yarkandensis (Yarkand deer)
Lineage: Eukaryota; Metazoa; Chordata; Mammalia; Artiodactyla; Cervidae
Description: lncRNA (ENSCHYG00000006440.1)
Source: RNAcentral